UAAUGUAUUAGUUUUAUUAAAUGUAUUGAUAGUUUAAUUGCCUAUUGUUCUUUUGAAGUUAGUGAAAAUACUAAUAAAAUGGAAAACUUACAAAAACAUGUAACAUCUAUUUUUAUUUAUGCUUUAGUUUGGACUAUUGGUUCUAAUAGUUAUAAGAGAGGUCGAAAAAUUUUUAGCAAUUUUUUAUGCCAACAAAUUGUGAAAUAUAAUUUGAAAUUAACUUUUGAAAUGGAGGACAAUAAACAGGUGGAUAUUCGUUCAUUGAACAAAUCAGGAAGAGUUCUGAAAAAAAAUAAAAAUAAAGAUAAAAAUAAAGAUAAAAAUAAAGAUAAAAAUAAAGAUAAAAAUAAAAUUAAAAAUAAAAAGUUGGUAACGUCUGUGGGAAGUACAAGUGGUACCGUUGACAGUGUAAUGGAAAAAAAAAACGGGUGACCAUCUUUUAGUGGAAAAAACAAAAACGGGUGACCCACUAGAUGAGAGGACAACAAAAGGCAAUGAUGACGGUAGUGGUAAUACACAUAAACAGUUUGAUCAAACUUCAGAAGAAGAAAAAAAAAAAAAAAAGAGAACCUUAGAUAGAACUAAGGAGAAUGUAGAUAACACUUAUGCAAAAGACAGUGGUGAUAGUAGUACAGACAAUAUAAGUGAUAGCAAUAAUACCACCAGUGAAAGUGACCAAGAAAAUUCAGACAUAGAUAUAUACAACGAAAAAAAUAAAAAUAUUGAAAAGUAUUACGAAAAUAUAAAUAAAAUAUAUGAAUAUUAUACAAAAAAUUAUAAAUAUUGUAAGAAUUUGUAUAAAAAUUAUGACCCAAAUUGUGGUACAAACAUAGAUAAUAGAAACAACGACGAUAUAAAUAACGAUGAUAUUUUAUUUUUAAAUUCUUUUGGUAGUUAUACUUCAGAUUCCAAUUCGAGUGAUGAUGAGAGAUAUUUGAAACGAAGUAAAAGUAGGAACAAAAUUGUUAAUGCGAAAAGAAAAUUAAAACAAGAGGAAGGAGAAAAGACUAUUGUAGGUGAUGCCAUUCAUGCAAAUAUAACACACUCAGGUGAUCAAAAAAAAUAUAAAUGUGAAGAUAUAGAUGAGAUAUUAAAUAAUGUUAAUUAUUAUAAUGAUGUGUAUAAUUUGGUAGUACAGCGUAGUAGUGUUGAUGAUGGUAACAUUGUUGACAGGGUUGAUGAUGGUGUUUAUAAAAAGGAAACGCAAGAGGAAAACUUGGAUGGAAUCACAACAAUAGAUAAUAUGGAUGAGGAGAAUCGAAAAACCCGAAGAAAUAAAAAAGUAAAAAAAGCCCAAUUAGAUCUUAACCUAUUCGAUUAUUAUUUUAAUUAUCAAAAAAACGUAAUGAGUCACUUAAAUAACAGAGAAAAUAAAUUCACAUGUAUGGAUGAUUAUACAGACAAUACAUAUUUAAUGAUAAAACAAAAAAAACAAAUCUCUAUGUUAUAUAAUAUUGAUGUAUUUAUGAAAAAUAAAAAGAAUUUAAUUAUAUCUGGUUGUAAUAAUAUAGGUAAAUCUUUAACUGUUAAUUAUUAUUUAAAUAAGAUCUUAUCUAAAGAUAAAUUUUAUGCAAUUGAUUUUUAUUUUUCGAAUAAUACCACUAGUAAAAAUGUACGUAAUUAUAUUCAAUCGAAAUUAACUAAAAGAAGAAAUGAUUUUUAUGGUACAACAAAUAAUAAAAUAUGUAUUUUUUACAUUGACAACAUGAACAUUGAAACUUGUAUAUGUACAGAAAAAAAUCAUUAUUUAUCUUCACAUGAAUUUUUACGUCUAAUAUUAACAUAUAAAUUUUUUUUAGACAAACAAAUGAAUACAAAAUAUAUUGAAGAUAUAACAUGUCUUGCAACUAUAAAUAAUUCCUAUUCAGGAAAUAAACUAUUACAUAAAAAUCGUUUAUAUAAUAAAUUUAGUAUUUUUUAUUAUAAUAAUUAUAACUACAAAGAAUUGUAUAAUAUAUUUUUUAACUAUCUAAAUUGUUUGUUCAAUGUAUAUGAUAUAAAUAUAAAAAGUUUGAUACGAAAUUUGGUAAAUAUGCAAUUAGAUA
RNAcentral lists this long non-coding RNA (2045 nucleotides) under Piliocolobus tephrosceles (Ugandan red Colobus). RNAcentral describes it as "lncRNA (ENSPTEG00000017526.1)". The record is from RNAcentral. Lineage: Eukaryota; Metazoa; Chordata; Mammalia; Primates; Cercopithecidae.